AACCAAGACUGAGAAGACCAAAGCAUGUCUGAGGACACACUGCCAGGAAGGGGGGCUGCUGUGCUUGGCGCCCAAGACCUUCCAGAGCCUGUCCAUUCACCCACUCCCCCGGAGAGUCCAGAAGUCAACUGGGAGUCUUCUUGAGAACCCAAGAGUCUGGAGGGAAGAUUUUAUUUGCACCUUCCUGUCAGAGCUAAUUAUUCAAUGAAAAACUGAGUAAUAGAGGCAUGAUAUCACCCAGGAUCACACAGUGGAGGAGCUGGGACUGGAAUCCAUGAACUCUAACAACAAAGUAAAUGUUCUUACUACCGAUAUCCCAGUUAUUUUGAAUGUGCCAUUCGUCUGGGAGACCGGAGUGAAUACUGCAAAGACCCUGGUUUGAAUCCUGAUGGCACUACUGGGUGUUUUGGGCAAGUUCCUUGACCUUUCUGUUUCCUCAUCAGUAAAGUUCAGAGAACAAAAACUAAUGUACAGUUUAUUGUGGGGAUCAAAAGAGGUCUGAGACAGGAAGCAUCUUACUACCACAGUCUGGCACCAUGGAUCAAUGACUGCUUCCUUCAAGUUUCCCAGCCCACUGUGUUAGCCCUCAUCCAAUGAUGAUACGUCGGUGGAAAAUGUAUUAAACCCUCGAUGUGUAUCCCAAGAAAAAUAAAUCCCCUCGACCUGCGAGACA
Long non-coding RNA from Lutra lutra (Eurasian river otter), 673 nucleotides. RefSeq lists it as uncharacterized. The record is from RefSeq and is a predicted model, not a curated record. The transcript has 2 exons. Lineage: Eukaryota; Metazoa; Chordata; Mammalia; Carnivora; Mustelidae.